Non-coding RNA from Puma concolor (puma), 1089 nucleotides. NCBI's taxonomy places the organism in Eukaryota, Metazoa, Chordata, Mammalia, Carnivora, Felidae. The record is from RefSeq and is a predicted model, not a curated record.
GUGGCCUGUGGAAUAAGAGGGCACAGACCUGGGGCCUGGAGGACAGACGGCAGAACUGCGGGGAUUCAGCCCUGGCUGCCUGUGAAGGUGUUCAUAUCAAGCACACGUGAUUUUUAUAAGUGGAUAUGGAUAAUGAGACAAAGGAAAAAUGAUUGGUAAACACUGCGUGCAGGACUCUGGGGACCCAGAGCAAACUCCAGUUGCAAAACCACCACCUGCACCUGUGCACUGGCAACAAAUUGACAGCCCCAGCCCUUCUGUGAAGAUCAGGAAGAUUCUCAGGAAUGGUUGCCCCUUGGACUGGUGGAGGAGCAGGAAUUCUGGGAAGAGAACCGUUCCAGGAGCCUGGCCUGCCCUUGAGAUACAGUGAGUUUUCCUCUGGAGGUCUUGUCAUGUCUGGAAAUAUUGAAGCCAUCUUGCCAUCACCUUGAGAAGGAGUUGAAGCCUGAGGAUGGCAGAGCAGAAAGACGCUCUUAGGAGGAAAAUACCUAAGAAGAGGUGAUUAAUCACUGUCUGAAAAGUGCUUUGAGAUCCUCUGAAGAAAGGAAACUGCAUCAGACAUGAACAGCGCCAAGCUGAGCCCUGGGCUUUCUGCUCCUGUGUUCUUUCACCGUCUCAUGCUGCCCGUCUCCUGACCAGGAUAGCCUUUAAAAUUGUAUCAGCUUCCGGCCCCACAAAAUCUGGAUGUGCUCCUGGUCCCAACACAGUUGGUUGACAAACACCCUCCUGUCCCCAAUCCUGCCCGGCCACCCGCGCUUCUCCUAUAAGGCUCUGAAACCACACUCACUCUCAGAUGAAGACUAACCUUGCAGUUAAAGCCCAGGUAGCUCUAUUUCAUGGCACCUCCCUGCCUUGGUCAGCCUAGUUCUCUAGGCCCUUGAGGUGCCCCAAGAAGCCAGACCAGAGUUGUUUCCUCUCUCUGGCUUUUUCCAUUUCUAAUUUGAAUGAAACACCACUACUGUUCACCGCGUGUUUAUCAAAAGGGUGGCAAGAACUGAAGUUCCCAGAUCAUUCUCUAAGCCACUCGAUCUUCUUGGAAGCAAGCAGCCUCUAAACAGUUCUUAUCUUUUUAAAAUCACCUGGGUAUUC